AUGUUUUGUUUGUUGUGUACAGGAACAAUCAUACGUAACGCUACAGAGGAGACAAGCGUCACUCUGAACUGUCCUCAUGAUGUCGGAGGAUCACAUGUUCCAACAUGGAGCAAAGACGGGACUGAAAUAAAACCAAAAAGAAGGUUUUCCGUUUCACCUGUGGACAAGACAUUGAGUAUAAGAGAUGUGAAGCUUAGCGACUCUGGACUUUACUACUGUGAUGGAAAACCUGCUGUGUACCUGACUGUGAUCAAAGGAAAAAAGAAAACCACACCACCACCAACAACUACGAAGCCGACUACGACUACAACUACGACUAUGAAGCCGACUACGACUAUGACUACGAUGCCGACUACAACUACGACUAUGAAGCCGACUACGACCACAAUGCCGACUACGACUACGAUGCCGACUACGAUUACGAUGCCGACUACAAAGCCAACUACGACUAAGAAGCCGACUAAGAAGAGAACUAAGAAGAGAACUACAACUACGAAGCCGACUAUGACGACACUUACUACUACAGCAUCACCAUCAUCAAGUACAAGUAGGUCUACAAUGAUGAUCUGAAGUCUUACCAAGUCUUACUGAGUUAUUAAUUAUGAAUUUGUCUUCCAGUCGCUCCUCCAGAACAAAAACCACCUCUCCCUUUGGUGAUAGGUAUCGUUGUCCCCUUGCUCCUCAUCAUCCUCCUCCUCAUCUUCUACCUGAUUCAUAGAUGCAGGUUUAAAAGACGAGGUAAAUAAAACCUGACACAGUAUGAGUGUAACAUAUUCUGCACACUUUAAUAU
RNAcentral lists this long non-coding RNA (791 nucleotides) under Sparus aurata (gilthead seabream). Its description in RNAcentral is "lncRNA (ENSSAUG00010001032.1)". Lineage: Eukaryota; Metazoa; Chordata; Actinopteri; Spariformes; Sparidae. The record is from RNAcentral.